Sinocyclocheilus anshuiensis is the source of this 290-nucleotide long non-coding RNA. RefSeq lists it as uncharacterized. NCBI's taxonomy places the organism in Eukaryota, Metazoa, Chordata, Actinopteri, Cypriniformes, Cyprinidae. The transcript is spliced from 2 exons. The record is from RefSeq and is a predicted model, not a curated record.
GGGGCUCGGGACCAAAACAUCAAAGAAGCACCUUCGCAAGUGCACAGCAACACCUACAACUUCAUAGUGAUACCCUUUCUUCAUUGACAGAGCUGUCAUUGUGAGUUCAGAGCGAGAUGUUCCGAAUCUGGCCUUUUUUCUUGUUCCUCUGAAGUUCUUUCAUCUGUACUGGGUUACACAAACAUGCGAGUUUAUGUGAGUCUGUGACGGUGAAAUAAGCAAGUGCUUUAGGAGCUUUAUCUUCUAGUGCAACUUGACUCAAACGGCAGAAAUAAAACACAUCAACACAA